UGCAGUCGAACGAUGAACCACUUCGGUGGGGAUUAGUGGCGAACGGGUGAGUAACACGUGGGCAAUCUGCCCUUCACUCUGGGACAAGCCCUGGAAACGGGGUCUAAUACCGGAUAACACUCCUACAGGCAUCUGUGGGGGUUGAAAGCUCCGGCGGUGAAGGAUGAGCCCGCGGCCUAUCAGCUUGUUGGUGAGGUAGUGGCUCACCAAGGCGACGACGGGUAGCCGGCCUGAGAGGGCGACCGGCCACACUGGGACUGAGACACGGCCCAGACUCCUACGGGAGGCAGCAGUGGGGAAUAUUGCACAAUGGGCGAAAGCCUGAUGCAGCGACGCCGCGUGAGGGAUGACGGCCUUCGGGUUGUAAACCUCUUUCAGCAGGGAAGAAGCGAAAGUGACGGUACCUGCAGAAGAAGCGCCGGCUAACUACGUGCCAGCAGCCGCGGUAAUACGUAGGGCGCAAGCGUUGUCCGGAAUUAUUGGGCGUAAAGAGCUCGUAGGCGGUCUGUCGCGUCGGAUGUGAAAGCCCGGGGCUUAACCCCGGGUCUGCAUUCGAUACGGGCAGACUAGAGUGUGGUAGGGGAGAUCGGAAUUCCUGGUGUAGCGGUGAAAUGCGCAGAUAUCAGGAGGAACACCGGUGGCGAAGGCGGAUCUCUGGGCCAUUACUGACGCUGAGGAGCGAAAGCGUGGGGAGCGAACAGGAUUAGAUACCCUGGUAGUCCACGCCGUAAACGGUGGGAACUAGGUGUUGGCGACAUUCCACGUCGUCGGUGCCGCAGCUAACGCAUUAA
RNAcentral lists this ribosomal RNA (791 nucleotides) under Streptomyces sp. SX2R11. RNAcentral's name for it is "bacterial SSU rRNA". It matches the Rfam family "Bacterial small subunit ribosomal RNA", at positions 56 to 863 of the family's 1533-position model. The record is from RNAcentral. Lineage: Bacteria; Bacillati; Actinomycetota; Actinomycetes; Kitasatosporales; Streptomycetaceae.